This is a long non-coding RNA of Tympanuchus pallidicinctus (lesser prairie-chicken), 439 nucleotides long. RefSeq lists it as uncharacterized. The record is from RefSeq and is a predicted model, not a curated record. The transcript is spliced from 4 exons. Lineage: Eukaryota; Metazoa; Chordata; Aves; Galliformes; Phasianidae.
CUGUGUGUCUCCAUAGGGCGCUAUGGGGCACUGUGUGUCUCUAUAAGGCGCUAUGGGUCACUGCGUGUCUCUAUAGGGCACUGUGUGGCGCUAUGGGGCACUGUGUGUCUCUAUAAGGCGCUAUGGGUCACUGCGUGUCUCUAUAGGGCACUGUGUGUCUCUAUAGGGCGCUAUGGGGCACUGUGUGGCGCUAUGGAGCACUGUGUGUCUCUAUGGGGCGCUAUGGGGCGCUGUGUGGCACUAUGGGGCACUGUGUGUCUCUAUGGGGCGCUAUGGGGCACUGUGUGUCUCUAUGGGGCGCUAUGGGGCACUGUGUGUCUCUAUAGGGUGCUAUGGGGCUCUGUGUGUCUCUAUAGGCCGCUAUGGGGCACUGUGUGUCUCUAUGGGGCGCUAUGGGGCACUGUGUGUCUCUACAGGGCGCUAUGGGGCACUGUGUGUC